This is a long non-coding RNA of Pseudophryne corroboree (corroboree frog), 2459 nucleotides long. RefSeq lists it as uncharacterized. The record is from RefSeq and is a predicted model, not a curated record. The transcript has 2 exons. NCBI's taxonomy places the organism in Eukaryota, Metazoa, Chordata, Amphibia, Anura, Myobatrachidae.
CUUUCCACCCUCUGCCUCCAUAAAUAACCAGCUAGCAAUAAUGGAGGCAGAAGAGGCCAAUAAUCCACCUGUAACAGCCCCCCAGCAGGACCGGUUUGCAGGGUUCUCAUUUACCACCUCCACCUGGAGAACCCCCCCAUAGGCACCGGGCCUACGACCGUCUGGCUGAGGCAGCAGCACUGCUGGAUGCAGGAGUUGGAGUUUCUGCAGAACAUCUGUGAUAAGAAGAUUGAUUACAACUUGGAAGAUUGUUUAUUAUUUUCUUAUUUUUUAUAAGUUUUUAAAUUUAACUUUUUUUAAAUUUGAAUAUUAACAUUUUUUAAAUUUACAUUUUCAAAUUUAGUGGGAGGGUAUUUUAUAAUGAAACAAUUUUAAAUUUUACUAUUUUUACAUUUUUGUAUUUACAAUUUUACAUUUACAUUUUAAUUAUUAGAUUUUAUAAGUAUUAUGUAAAUUUUAUUUAAAAGUUUAAAUUUUUUUAUAUUUUUCAAUUUUAAAUUUUUUUGAAUACAAGCAUAACAUCAGGUGUGUGAUGGGCCGGCUAUAGGGGAUGGUUGGAGGCCGGUAUUUUUUUUUUUUUUUUUUAACAUUAACAUUUUAAUAGUUAGGGGCCCAUUUAUCAAAUAAUAUUUGUGCUAUACCUGCUGCAAUCCCUCCAUUUCUGCCCGCAGCAACAUUCCCCAUUGGUUUCUAUGGGGGAUGCGAUGCUGGCCAAUGUAUCAAUAUCGGGAACGCAAAGCAUUCCCAAUAUUGGGGGUAAUUCAAAGUUGAUCGUAGAUGUGCUAAAUUUAGCACAUCUACGACCCUUUACUUUGACAUGCGGGGGGACGCCCAGCACAGGGCUAGUCCGCCCCGCAUGUCAGGCCCUGCUCCCCCCUACAUAGGUACAGAAUCAUCGCACAGCGGUGAUGCUUUUGUACCUGACAUGUAGCUCCCUGCCAGCACAGCUCCUGCUAGCUGGCAGAGGGCUAACUGCCAUGUCCCGGGUCGCAGCGGCUGCGUAUGACAUCACGCAGCCACUGCGGCCCGCCCACCCAACAGUCCAGACACGCCUCCAUUGUUAGGACCGUGCCCCACCAACGGCGUUCUAAGGCUGUUGGUACGCCCCCUCCCGUCCUGCGACUGCCUCUGCCUGUCAAUCAGGCGAUCGCACCAGUGAGAUGCUUUCUCAUCUCACUGGCUGCACAUGCACAGUGCACCACCGCGCGAGCGUACUGCGCAUAGUAAUUCAGACAGCAAUCCCUGCCGAUGCAGCAAUGCAGUCUGAAUUACCUCCAUUGUCCCUCCAGUAUUGCUGUAGCCCAUUGUAGCCUAUGGGCUAUGGAUCGCGAAAAGAAGAUCCGGCUGGGUUCCCUGGGAACUCUCCGCCGGAAAUGCCCUGUGCAUUGCGGUCACCCCCACAGCUACCGCAAUCUUUUGAUUGCGAUAGCCUAUUGUAGCCUAUGGGCUACAGAUCGCGAAAAGUAAAUCCAUCUGGGUUCCCUGGGAACCCUCCAUCUGAAAUGCCUCUGUGCACGCAUGCACAGGGGGCCUAAUUCAGAUCUGUUCGCUCGCUAUUUUUUGCAGCGCUGUGAACAGAUAGACACCACCUAUAGGGGAGUGUAUUUAAGCUUUGCAAGUGUGCGAACGCGUGUGCAGCCGCCCUGUAUAAAAACAGCUUGUGCAGUUUCUGAGUAGCUCUGACCUUACUCAGCCGCUGCAAUCACUUCAGCCUAUUCGAGCCCGGAAUUGAUGUCUGACACCCGCCCUGCAAACACCUCGACACACCUGUGUUUUUCCAACCGCUCCCAGAAAACGGUCAGUUGCCACCCACAAACACCCUCUUCCUGUCAAUCUCCUUGUGAACGGCUGUGCGAAUGGUUUCUUUGCUAGAACCAGUGCACAACAACAAUCCGCUUUGUAACCAUACGGCGCGCCUGCGCAUUGUGGUGCAUACACAUGCGCAGUAGUUACCUGAUUGCUGGGCAGCGAAAAACGCUAGCGAGCGAACAGAUCUGAAUUAGGCCCAGGAUCCCUGUCCCUGCGGGUGCCACGUGAUACAUUCACACAUAUUGCAAUGCGAUUCUGGGUGUUAAGAUCCAGUCCAGAUCGCAUUAUAUGCAACCCUUGAUAAAUGGGCCCCUAAGUGAGUUAAAAUGUAUUUUUCCAUCAAACCAUAACAACACAAAAUAAGGUGUGUGAUUGGCCCGGCUAGAGGGGGCGGUUUGGAGGCCGGCUUUUUUUUUUUUUUUUUUUUUUUAACAUUUAGAUUUUAAUUUUUAGUGUCCUACUAUAUAUAUCUGUGUGAGAUACACAGUUUAUUUUUAUCCAGUUAGGUUUUUUUAGGGAUGGGGUUCUAGGCUUUGCUGUACCAGAGGUGACACUGUCUGUGUAGUCACAUUGCUCAUUUCUUUUUAUUAUAAAAGAAUAAUUUAUUAUAAAUAUUUUUAUUAUUUGAAUAAAUUUGGUGUUUAAAUGUU